Molecule: long non-coding RNA, 345 nt
Organism: Armigeres subalbatus
Lineage: Eukaryota; Metazoa; Arthropoda; Insecta; Diptera; Culicidae
Exons: 3
Source: RefSeq, a predicted model, not a curated record
ACGGUAGAAGGUAAAGAGAAGCAAAAUUGAUUGAUAACAAGAAGUAAAAACAAAACGUGAACUAGAUAGUGAGUGCAUUGUAUGCUAUUAAGAGUUUAUAUCUUAAAUUUCCCUUAAGUUAUUAAACAGUAAAAUUCCUAAUUGUAACUUAUUGCUAAAAGGUGCAUGCAGGUAUAAACGAUAGAUAUUGUGAAAUAAACAGAGUACAAAGUUUCGCUGAGAUCAAGCAACUAUACGAUACUAUUACAUAUCUACUUAUACCUAAGACAAGCACAUCAAAGCUAAAACUAUUUUUAAACCGAACAGUGCCGAUCGAAAGAAUUUGCAUAGUAAAUCCACAUUUAA